Molecule: ribosomal RNA, 253 nt
Filed under: uncultured bacterium
Lineage: Bacteria
Description: partial 16S ribosomal RNA
Rfam family: Bacterial small subunit ribosomal RNA
Source: RNAcentral
UACGGGGGGGGCAAGCGUUGUUCGGAAUUACUGGGCGUAAAGGGCGCGUAGGCGGCCUACUAAGUCGGACGUGAAAUCCCUCGGCUCAACCGAGGAACUGCGUCCGAUACUGGUGGGCUUGAAUCCGGGAGAGGGAUGUGGAAUUCCAGGUGUAGCGGUGAAAUGCGUAGAUAUCAGGAAGAACACCAAUGGCGAAAGCAGCUUUCUGGGACGGUACUGACGCUGAGACGCGAAAGCGUGGGGAGCGAACAGG